AAUUGAAUUUAAACACUCAAACAAGAGCUUUUACAGACAAUUGAGACCAAUAUGGACAACUUACCAUUUUAAGCCCAUGUUUUCUAAUUUUGUCUGACACAAACAUGUUGUAUGGCAUCUCUGAUGAGCGAAAGUGUUCAGUCUUAGUAUAUUGAUUGGACAUUUUGCUAACUUUAGUAUACAGAGACUGAACAAUAACAAGUAUACUAUUUUAGCCUUGUUAUCGGAUGUUGGUUUACCUGUUGGGAAGCCAUUGACAGCCCAAAAGCCACCUGUUGGGAAGCCAUUGCCAGCCCAAAAGCCACCUGUUGGAAAGCCAUUGCCAGCCCAAAAGCCACCUGUUGGGAAGCCAUUGCCAGCCCAAAAGCCACCUGUUGGGAAGCCAUUGCCAGCCCAAAAGCCACCUGUUGGAAAGCCAUUGCCAGCCCAAAAGCCACCUGUUGGGAAGCCAUUGCCAGCCCAAAAGCCACCUGUUGGGAAGCCAUUGCCAGCCCAAAAGCCACCUGUUGGGAAGCCAUUAGCAGCCCAAAAACCAACCAGUGCAAAGACAGGAAUCCCCAGUAUUCAUCAAGGUUUGUUACCACCAACCUGUCCUUUGCCUGCAAGUGACAGUGAUUCGGGUGUUCCUGAUCCCCAACAGUCAGUGGAUGAUGUAAUCGCUCAUCAAAGACCUUCAACUUCAAGUACCCAUCCUUCAGAUACUGUCCUUGGUCAACGUGAAAAUAAAGACCUUUGUCUCCCGGCUCGAUGGAAGACAACCCUACCAAAGGCAGAUCAGCAGUGGAUAUCAAAAGCCCUGUUCCGUUGGACCAGCUCAGGCGGGUAGAACUGGUUCCAGAGCACCUUAACCAGCUAUGGUGGCAUCCUCCUCAGCCAGCUGUAGCAGUAAACAGCUUACCUGGAGUGGACAGGUACUUUGCACGGCCCCUGUUGUUGUGGAUGCCAAGAAAACAGUGGAAAGUCCAGCUCUAUUGUCCACAUCCAGGCUGUGAUAAACAAGAACUCGCCUCUGCAGGUAUCAACCAAAAGGUCAGGCAAGUCGUCGACAUUGAUGGUUUUUACAACUUGGCCUGUGACAACCUUGAGUGCAUGAAAUGCAGACGGCGUGUCCUCAGCUGGAGCCAUGCCAUUCUGUCACAGCUUGACAUAGGGCACAGGGUGCAGUUUCCAUGCAUCCUGACAGCCAAAGAUGCCUGUGACAUGAGGAUCGUCCUACUGCUGAGAAAUAGAGGAUUUGGCAACAG
Molecule: long non-coding RNA, 1244 nt
Organism: Dreissena polymorpha
Lineage: Eukaryota; Metazoa; Mollusca; Bivalvia; Myida; Dreissenidae
Exons: 3
Source: RefSeq, a predicted model, not a curated record